UAAAAUCAUUUCAUAAAUUACAAAAAUUGAGUCCGACUCAAUUUUUAUUGGUCAUGUGGCCCGAUCGAUAAAACGGCUCAUAUUUCAAUAUGGUUUCGAUUUUAUUAAAAGAGAUGCAAUUGACAAAAAUUAUAUAACAUUAAUAGAAUGUAAUUAUAAAUAGAGAAUAAUUGAAUUUUUUUUUAAUAUUUUUUUUAAAAAAAGUUUCAUCUCACAAUCAUAUAUUUGAUCACAUCAUCUUGAAAAUAUAUUUUCGUCCUCUUUUUCCUUUCUUUU
RNAcentral lists this long non-coding RNA (276 nucleotides) under Lathyrus oleraceus (garden pea). Its description in RNAcentral is "Pisum sativum (pea) long non-coding RNA (PSAT_LNC003527)". Lineage: Eukaryota; Viridiplantae; Streptophyta; Magnoliopsida; Fabales; Fabaceae. The record is from RNAcentral.